GACAGAGGGUGCAAACGUUGUUCGGAAUUACUGGGCGUAAAGCGCGUGUAGGCGGCUUUGCAAGUCGGGUGUGAAAGCCCUCAGCUUAACUGAGGAAGUGCGCCCGAAACCGCUUGGCUUGAGUACCGGAGAGGAUGGCGGAAUUCCCCAAGUAGAGGUGAAAUUCGUAGAUAUGGGGAGGAACACCGGUGGCGAAGGCGGCCAUCUGGACGGAUACUGACGCUGAGACGCGAAAGCGUGGGUAGCAAACAGG
Molecule: ribosomal RNA, 253 nt
Filed under: uncultured bacterium
Lineage: Bacteria
Description: partial 16S ribosomal RNA
Rfam family: Bacterial small subunit ribosomal RNA
Source: RNAcentral